RNAcentral lists this ribosomal RNA (473 nucleotides) under uncultured bacterium. Its description in RNAcentral is "bacterial SSU rRNA". It matches the Rfam family "Bacterial small subunit ribosomal RNA", at positions 26 to 518 of the family's 1533-position model. The record is from RNAcentral.
CUAGGACGAACGCUGGCGGCGUGCUCAUACAUGCAAGUCGAACGAGAAGCUGACUUCGGUCAGUGGAAAGUGGCGGACGGGUGAGUAAUAUGUAGGAAAUCUGCCCUAGAGAGGGGGACAACAGAGGGAAACUUCUGCUAAUACCCCAUAUGAGCUUAGUUGAAAUACUAAUCUUGAAAACUCCGGUGCUCUGGGAUGAGCCUGCAUCUGAUUAGCUAGUUGGCGGUGUAAUGGACCACCAAGGCGACGAUCAGUAGCUGGUUUGAGAGGAUGAUCAGCCACAAUGGGACUGAGACACGGCCCAUACUCCUACGGGAGGCAGCAGUAGGGAAUUUUGCGCAAUGGGCGAAAGCCCUGACGCAGCAACGCCGCGUGAACGAUUAAGCCCUUCGGGGUGUAAAGUUCUGUCAGUGGGGACGAAACUUGACGGUACCCACAGAGGAAGCACCGGCUAACUCCGUGCCAGCCGCCGC